GUGAUUUUGUUUUAUACAAAAUUUAUAAAAAGAUUUGCACAUUAUUGCAAAUCUUUU
This 57-nucleotide non-coding RNA is filed under the name Pongo abelii (Sumatran orangutan). RNAcentral describes it as "Cyanobacteria heterocyst sRNA". It matches the Rfam family "Cyanobacteria heterocyst sRNA". Lineage: Eukaryota; Metazoa; Chordata; Mammalia; Primates; Hominidae. The record is from Rfam by way of RNAcentral.